UACGUAGGGAGCGAGCGUUGUCCGAAUUUACUGGGCGUAAAGCGCGCGUAGGCGGGUUUGCAAGUCGGAGGUGAAAUGCUGUGGCUCAACCACAUGCAGUGCCUCCGAUACUUCAAGUCUUGAGUGCGGUAGGGAGAAGUGGAAUGGCUGGUGUAGCGGUGAAAUGCGUAGAUAUCAGGAGGAACACCGGUGGCGAAGGCGCACACCUGGCCCGAUACUGACGCUGAGGCGCGAAAGCUAGGGGAGCAAACGGG
This 254-nucleotide ribosomal RNA is filed under the name uncultured bacterium. RNAcentral describes it as "partial 16S ribosomal RNA". It matches the Rfam family "Bacterial small subunit ribosomal RNA", at positions 524 to 776 of the family's 1533-position model. The record is from RNAcentral.